Molecule: long non-coding RNA, 409 nt
Organism: Rattus rattus (black rat)
Lineage: Eukaryota; Metazoa; Chordata; Mammalia; Rodentia; Muridae
Exons: 3
Source: RefSeq, a predicted model, not a curated record
CUUGCCAUGAGUGAUAGUGCCACAUCAGCACCUCCAAGGAGAGGCAGCAACUAGCAGCAGAACUGCUUCCCAGGCUUCUCUGAGGAAUGCAGAAUACUCCAUCAGGGAACUGGAGGGAAAUCAAGAGGCUAGACACCAGAGCCAAAAUGCUGAGAGGAUGUUUGCUCCAAGAACCUCUCCAACCUGCUACAAACUACUUAAUCUUUUUAUGCCUCAACUUUACCAUCUGGAAGAAGAAAAACACAGAAGUUAAUGCAUGAUUAUUAAAUAUAUAGAAAGAACUUAUCCUUGAGAAGAAUAUAGCUCACUGGUAGAAUGCUUGCCCACUACACGUGAGGACCUGAAAUUGACAGGAGAAGAAGAUGAAGAGGAGGGGAGGAGGAGGAAAAUGAGGAAGAAGAGGAGGAAU